This 469-nucleotide ribosomal RNA is filed under the name uncultured bacterium. RNAcentral's name for it is "partial 16S ribosomal RNA". It matches the Rfam family "Bacterial small subunit ribosomal RNA", at positions 28 to 507 of the family's 1533-position model. The record is from RNAcentral.
GAUGAACGCUGGCGGCGUGCUUAACACAUGCAAGUCGAACGGUGAACCCGGAGCUUGCUCUGUGGGAUCAGUGGCGAACGGGUGAGUAACACGUGAGCAACCUGCCCCUGACUCUGGGAUAAGCGCUGGAAACGGCGUCUAAUACUGGAUAUGUGACGUGACCGCAUGGUCUGCGUUUGGAAAGAUUUUUCGGUUGGGGAUGGGCUCGCGGCCUAUCAGCUUGUUGGUGGGGUAAUGGCUCACCAAGGCGUCGACGGGUAGCCGGCCUGAGAGGGUGACCGGCCACACUGGGACUGAGACACGGCCCAGACUCCUACGGGAGGCAGCAGUGGGGAAUAUUGCACAAUGGGCGCAAGCCUGAUGCAGCAACGCCGCGUGAGGGAUGACGGCCUUCGGGUUGUAAACCUCUUUUAGCAGGGAAGAAGCGAAAGUGACGGUACCUGCAGAAAAAGCGCCGGCUAACUACGUG